GCUUGUCUCAAAGAUUAAGCCAUGCAUGUCUAAGUAUAAACAAAUCUAUACUGUGAAACUGCGAAUGGCUCAUUAUAUCAGUUAUAGUUUAUUUGAAGGUCCUUGCUACUUGGAUAACCGUAGUAAUUCUAGAGCUAAUACAUGCAUCAAACCCCGACUUUUGGAAGGGGUGUAUUUAUUAGAUGGAAACCAAUGCGGGGCAACCCGGUAAAUGGUGAUUCAUAAUAACUUUCGGAUCGGUCUUCGGAUCGAUGCUUCAUUCAAGUUUCUGCCCUAUCAGCUUUGGAUGGUAGGGUAUUGGCCUACCAUGGCUUUAACGGGUAACGGAGAAUUAGGGUUCGAUUCCGGAGAGGGAGCCUGAGAAAUGGCUACCACAUCCAAGGAAGGCAGCA
RNAcentral lists this ribosomal RNA (392 nucleotides) under uncultured Chrysophyceae. RNAcentral's name for it is "partial small subunit ribosomal RNA". It matches the Rfam family "Eukaryotic small subunit ribosomal RNA", at positions 30 to 430 of the family's 1831-position model. Lineage: Eukaryota; Chrysophyceae. The record is from RNAcentral.